RNAcentral lists this ribosomal RNA (465 nucleotides) under uncultured bacterium. RNAcentral's name for it is "partial 16S ribosomal RNA". It matches the Rfam family "Bacterial small subunit ribosomal RNA", at positions 28 to 507 of the family's 1533-position model. The record is from RNAcentral.
GACGAACGCUGGCGGCGUGCUUAACACAUGCAAGUCGAACGGAAAGGCCCCUUUGGGGGUACUCGAGUGGCGAACGGGUGAGUAACACGUGAGUAACCUGCCCUUGACUUCGGGAUAACUUCAGGAAACUGGGGCUAAUACCGGAUAGGAAUCCUUGCUGCAUGGUGGGGGUUGGAAAGCUUCGGCGGUUUUGGAUGGACUCGCGGCUUAUCAGCUUGUUGGUGGGGUAGUGGCUUACCAAGGCUUUGACGGGUAGCCGGCCUGAGAGGGCGACCGGCCACAUUGGGACUGAGAGACGGCCCAGACGCCUACGGGAGGCAGCAGGGGGGAAUAUUGCACAAUGGGCGGAAGCCUGAUGCAGCAACGCCGCGUGCGGGAUGACGGCCUUCGGGUUGUAAACCGCUUUCAGCAGGGGCGAAGCUUGUGGUGACGGUACCUGCAGAAGAAGCACCGACUAACUACGUG